UCAGGAUGAACGCUAGCUACAGGCUUAACACAUGCAAGUCGAGGGCAGCAUGAUCGAAGCUUGCUUUGAUUGAUGGCGACCGGCGCACGGGUGAGUAACGCGUAUCCAACCUUCCCUAUAGUAGAGGAUAGCCCGGCGAAAGUCGGAUUAAUACUCUAUGUUUUCCAAUGCAGACAUCUAAGUUGGAACAAAGGUUCACCGCUAUAGGAUGGGGAUGCGUCUGAUUAGGUUGUUGGCGGGGUAACGGCCCACCAAGCCUACGAUCAGUAGGGGUUCUGAGAGGAAGGUCCCCCACAUUGGAACUGAGACACGGUCCAAACUCCUACGGGAGGCAGCAGUGAGGAAUAUUGGUCAAUGGGCGAGAGCCUGAACCAGCCAAGUAAGCGUGCAGGAUGACGGCCCUAUGGGUUGUAAACUGCUUUUAUACGGGGAUAAAGUGAGGGACGUGUCCCUUUUUGUAGGUACCGUAUGAAUAAGGACCGGCUAAUUCCGUGCCAGCCGCAGC
This 505-nucleotide ribosomal RNA is filed under the name uncultured bacterium. RNAcentral describes it as "bacterial SSU rRNA". It matches the Rfam family "Bacterial small subunit ribosomal RNA", at positions 24 to 518 of the family's 1533-position model. The record is from RNAcentral.